RNAcentral lists this long non-coding RNA (447 nucleotides) under Chinchilla lanigera (long-tailed chinchilla). Its description in RNAcentral is "lncRNA (ENSCLAG00000024725.1)". The record is from RNAcentral. Lineage: Eukaryota; Metazoa; Chordata; Mammalia; Rodentia; Chinchillidae.
GGACUUUUUUUUUUGUCUUUUUGAGGCAGGGUCUCGCUAUGCAGCUCAGGCUGGCCUUGAGCUCACUUUGUAGCCCAGGCUGGUCUCAAACUCGCAAGGAUCCUCCUGCCUCAGCCUCCCGAGUGCUGAGAGUGUACCACCAUGCCCAGCCAGGACUUUCUAGAAGGUUCUGUGGGCAAAAAGAAAACAAGUUCUUCCUUAGAGAAGUUUAGCUUUGCCUUCAAGGGAGUCUCACAGCAAGGAAGUCUCAGCAGACUGGUGGAUCGGACGUUCUGCUUAUCACAGCAUUGGAAAAGGGUUCAGGGGAGGCCAUUUCCCUUCCUGACCAAUCCUGACCUGGUACAGAACUGACAGAAAGACGAAGAAAGGGAGUUUCUGAGUUACAACUGGGUAAGAAGUCAGUAGCUAAUCAGAAAGAGUCUGUAAGAAAGAGGGGUGGGAGUUUUG